Molecule: ribosomal RNA, 301 nt
Filed under: uncultured bacterium
Lineage: Bacteria
Description: partial 16S ribosomal RNA
Rfam family: Bacterial small subunit ribosomal RNA
Source: RNAcentral
CAGUAGCCGCGGUAAAACGUAGGUGGCAAGCGUUGUCCGGAAUUAUUGGGCGUAAAGGGCUCGCAGGCGGUUUCUUAAGUCUGAUGUGAAAGCCCCCGGCUCAACCGGGGAGGGUCAUUGGAAACUGGGAAACUUGAGUGCAGAAGAGGAGAGUGGAAUUCCACGUGUAGCGGUGAAAUGCGUAGAGAUGUGGAGGAACACCAGUGGCGAAGGCGACUCUCUGGUCUGUAACUGAGGCUGAGGAGCGAAAGCGUGGGGAGCGAACAGGAUUAGAUACCCCCGUAGUCCCUGUCUCUUAUAC